GAAAAGCCCCUGCCCCGCCAUGCGCCACACAGCUCUGUGUAAUUUCCUCUGUGGGUCAGUCCUCCACAGAGGGCUAUGAUGAGGCCAUGACUCAAGCCUUGGCCUGACAUAGACAAGCCACCAGCUGCCUGGCUUCCAGCCGGCUCAUAGGAUGCAAAGUAGGAAUGCCCAUAGUUGCUCCCCACUUCUGCUCCACUUCCAGAUAUGGGCUAGGCAGACAUUCACUAUGGAUCACUCUGGAUCCAAAGCUUGUCAGGUUCUGGAGUGUGACCUCAGCCAGUAUCCAAACAAGACAGCCCUGCUCCUGUGUAGGGUUAAGCUUCAAGUUCCUUCAGCAAGCUGUUAGAGUCAGGCCUUGUGUCUGCAUUCCCGAAGCCUUCCUCUUGAAGCUUUCUUCCACUGAAGCAGUUUUCCAGGACAUUCAGAGACAUGCAGCCACUGACUUAAUUAGUUCUGUGAGACCUCCUACUUUGGGUAUCAAAUAAUUCCAUGCUCAGAGAGACUUGAAGGAAGAAGGGCCUUUGGAUGCUAGCCUACUUCCAGUGCAAAGUGAAACUACUGUCAUGAAAAAGACCCAGCCAGUCUUGGCAAAUACUGAGAAUGCUGCCAACAAAGGAUAAAGGGCCUAUUAAGCCUGUCCCUCGAAUUCCCUGGAGACAGACAGCUCACCUUGGUUUCCUCCUGACCACGGAGGGCACAUCUGUGGGAGGCUAAAGAAUGUCACAGGUAGACAUCUGUUUUAGUUCCUAAAGAAUCAAAAAAAAAAAAAAAGAAUAAAAUAGAAAGGGAAGAUGGAGGGAAGGAGGAGACACAAUGAAGAAGGGGAGGGUAAAGAAAAGAAGGGACACAGAACAGGCACUCCAGUUCUGGGAUGCUCAGCAUAGCAGGACUAGCUGGGUGCUGCAAUCCCAGCACUCAUUAAUGCUAAGAACAGCAAGCUCAUAGGCCAGGCUGCACAGUGAAUUCCAGGCGGUCAUGGCUACACAGUGAGUCCGUCUCAGAAAAACAAAAUACAGAACAACAACAACAAAAACCCAGUGGUCUCUGCUUAGAUUGCUAUCUCCCCCCACCUCCCUAGGGCCUUGCUGCUAAGCAACCGCUCAACCACCGAGCUACAUCCUCAGCCCACCACUUGAAAUGUGAAUGGUCUGAAAUGAAAUAGGCUAUAAUACACACUGGAUUUCAAAGACUUAGUUAGAACAAAAAAGGAGUGGACCUACUUGAGAUCUUUUCUCAAAAAAAAAAAAAAAGCCAGAAUGUAAAAAUUAGUGAAAAUAAUUUUUAUUAAUUACAUGAUUAAAAGUACAUUUUGGAGUUUUUAUUAAAUAAAGUUAAUUUUCC
Molecule: long non-coding RNA, 1341 nt
Filed under: Cricetulus griseus (Chinese hamster)
Lineage: Eukaryota; Metazoa; Chordata; Mammalia; Rodentia; Cricetidae
Description: lncRNA (ENSCGRG00015037616.1)
Source: RNAcentral